CCUACGGGAGGCAGCAGUGGGGAAUCUUGCGCAAUGGGCGAAAGCCUGACGCAGCAACGCCGCGUGCGGGAAGAAGGCUUUCGGGCUGUAAACCGCUUUCAGCAGGAACGAAAAUGACGGUACCUGCAGAAGAAGGAGCGGCCAACUAUGUGCCAGCAGCCGCGGUGAUACAUAGGCUUCAAGCGUUGUCCGGAUUUAUUGGGCGUAAAGAGUUCGUAGGCGGUCGAGUAAGUCGGGUGUGAAAAUUCUGGGCUCAACCCAGAGACGCCACCCGAUACUGCUUGACUUGAGUUCGAUAGGGGAGUGGGGAAUUCCUAGUGUAGCGGUGAAAUGCGCAGAUAUUAGGAGGAACACCGGUGGCGAAGGCGCCACUCUGGAUCGAUACUGACGCUGAGGAACGAAAGCAUGGGUGGCAAACAGGAUUAGAUACCCUGGUAGUCCAUGCCGUAAACGGUGGGCACUAGGUGUGGGUUUCUAUUAACGAAAUCCGCGCCGUCGCUAACGCAUUAAGUGCCCCGCCUGGGGGAGUACGGUCGCAGACUAAACUACAANAGAAUUAGACGG
RNAcentral lists this ribosomal RNA (564 nucleotides) under uncultured bacterium. Its description in RNAcentral is "bacterial SSU rRNA". It matches the Rfam family "Bacterial small subunit ribosomal RNA", at positions 338 to 916 of the family's 1533-position model. The record is from RNAcentral.